Molecule: transfer-messenger RNA, 383 nt
Filed under: Acidocella sp. MX-AZ03
Lineage: Bacteria; Pseudomonadati; Pseudomonadota; Alphaproteobacteria; Acetobacterales; Acidocellaceae
Rfam family: Alphaproteobacteria transfer-messenger RNA
About the family: Bacterial tmRNA, also known as 10Sa RNA or SsrA, is named for its dual tRNA and mRNA-like properties. Its role is to liberate the mRNA from a stalled ribosome. To accomplish this part of the tmRNA is used as a reading frame that ends in a translation stop signal.
Source: RNAcentral
GCUCUUUCACAAACCGCGAAGGGCGCCUAUAUCAGCCUCGUCAGCUUGCUGACUAUGGCGAUAAACGGUGCGUGGAAUAAGCGUUGUGGACCCGGGGCGGUACCCGGCGCCUCCAUAUUCUCUUGCGGCCCUUCGGGGCCGCCGCGGCCUGAUUCAGACUUCGCGGCGUUCGCCGCUACGUCAUCAGGACGCGAUCACGGGGGAUUUGCGGGGGCGAAAUAGACUCGACACGCGUGGUAAAGACCCAUCUUUUGCCCGGCAUUGUACCGCCGUUAUCGGGCUAAUUUUUAAAUGCGAACGAUAACAACGUUGCAUUCGCUGCAGCUGCCUAAUCAGUAGCUAAAGCGCGGCUCGGGGGCGCCGGGCAACAGAAGCCCCCCACU